This 28-nucleotide non-coding RNA is filed under the name Bombyx mori (domestic silkworm). The record is from RNAcentral. Lineage: Eukaryota; Metazoa; Arthropoda; Insecta; Lepidoptera; Bombycidae.
UGACGUCUAGGCAGUUUUUGCCCCCCCC